GUGUCUGAAUGGUGAAACCCGUCCUUUUCCACAGCGGCGAGAUGUGGCAGGGAAGCUGAAAAUGACUGAAACUUCAGCAAAAUUGAGACCCUGGAACCUCCAGACUCCAGCGAGCACAGCGUCAGAUGCUGCGUAACGCAGGAAUGAUUGAAUACACCAUUUGUGCAUUAGUUAAGUACAGCUGUGGCUAAAUUGAUGUUUCAUCAAAGCUCUCUGCAAUUUGGCAGCAGGCAUGACUUGAUAUGUAUUCACACAGAUGUGCACAAAACAUCUUUCCUCUUUUCUCAGGCAGUGACAUUGCUCGUUUUUUCAGGGAGAGCAUCCUUCAAUUGAUGGUUCGAGCCGGCUUCGGAAAUCUGAGUGCAGCAGGUCUGUUUUCAACGCAACCAGCCCUCAGAUCCAAGGCAGAUGCAGCAAUUAUGCUUCCAACUACAGAAUAACAGCUGAGCACAUACUGCUUUAAUAUCAGUAAA
Molecule: long non-coding RNA, 473 nt
Organism: Paramormyrops kingsleyae
Lineage: Eukaryota; Metazoa; Chordata; Actinopteri; Osteoglossiformes; Mormyridae
Source: RefSeq, a predicted model, not a curated record